AACUACUUUACUAGAGUUAUAGAGAAUAGUGUAAUUUCACAUGGAGAGAUGGAAUUCGAAGAGAUGUGAAGGAACCUCAACGGCGAAGGCAACUAUUUGGGUUAUAAACUGACGCUGAGGAACGAAAGCAUGGGGAGCAAACAGGAUUAGAUACCCUGGUAGUCCAUGCCGUAAACGAUGAGUGCUCGGAUUCAGAAACAAUUUGGGUCCUUAGUUAACACGUUAAGCACUCCGCCUGAGGAGUAUAAUCGCAAGGUUGGAACUCAAAGGAAUUGACGGGGGCCGAUACAAGUGGUGGAGCAUGUGGUUUAAUGCGAUAAUACGCGCGAAACCUUACCAGCUCUUGACAUAUAAUGAUAAAAUUAGAAAUAAUUUANNNNNNNCUUUUGAAAAAACAUUUAUACAGGUGUUGCAUGGCUGUCGUCAGCUCGUGUCGUGAGAUGUUUGGUUAAGUUCUCUAACGAGCGCAACCCUUAUCUUUAGUUGCUAUUUAAUUUUAAAAUUAAAAGUACUUUAAAGAAACUGCCGAUGAUAAAUUGGAGGAAGGUGAGGAUGACGUCAAGUCUUCAUGGCCCUUAUGAGCUGGGCUACACACGUGCUACAAUGGUAACUACAAUAAGUAGCAAUAAUGCAAAUUGGAGCAAAUCUUAAAAAGUUAUCUCAGUUCGGAUUGUGGGCUGCAACUCGCCCACAUGAAGUUGGAAUCACUAGUAAUCGCAAAUCAGAACGUUGCGGUGAAU
RNAcentral lists this ribosomal RNA (740 nucleotides) under uncultured bacterium. Its description in RNAcentral is "bacterial SSU rRNA". It matches the Rfam family "Bacterial small subunit ribosomal RNA", at positions 631 to 1367 of the family's 1533-position model. The record is from RNAcentral.